This is a long non-coding RNA of Cyanistes caeruleus (blue tit), 1329 nucleotides long. RefSeq lists it as uncharacterized. Lineage: Eukaryota; Metazoa; Chordata; Aves; Passeriformes; Paridae. The record is from RefSeq and is a predicted model, not a curated record.
UCUCCCUUGGUUCUGGUCUGUGGCACUUGUCUCUAAACUGCACAUGGUUUCUGGGCAUUGUCCCUAUUUUUAUUUCUCACUGAAGUCAUUUUCUUCAUCAUUCCCACUCCUAUUUUCUCUCCACCCUCUGCCCUGAAGUCAGGGGACCUAAAAGUUUGUCACAGCCUCCCUCACUGCAACAUCAGUCCACAGAUGGGAAGUCCCAGCUUGCAGAAGUGAUGCUGGACAAUGCAAAUAAUACAAUUCUCCAUUUCCACAGUCACUCUUGGGGAAAAGGAAGGAUCCUGAUCCUGGGAAUGCUGAGGCUCCUAUUGGAUAUCAGUCAAAUUGGGUUUAAUGAGGCCUUUCCAAGGUUUUUUUAAAUGCAAUAUUGGAGAGUAUAAUUGUUGUUUAUGGGCACAUUUGCACGAGUGACUUGGCAGGUGAUUCAGUGAAAAAUACUCAGCCCAGAUGCCAUGUCCACGCUGCAAAGCAAUGCAAAGCAAAUAAAAAUGUCAAUAAGGAAUAAGCUUCUCCAGAGAACAAGCCAGCAGCAUAUUAAAGAGUUUCAUUUCAUUUCCUGGGUCUUCUGUUCCCUGAUUUCCAGAGUGGAAGAGUGCAUUUCUUUAUUGAAAGUAACUCAUUAAACUCUUCUGAAAAAGCUGACCAGAAAUCCUUUGUUGUGGGUCACUCAAGAGGAAGAUGAGCUUGUACAGUCUGCAGGCUGUGUGCUAGGAACUGGGAAUGCCUACACAAAAUUGGUGGGACAUGCUGGUAUUUUUAGCUUUCUUAUCAAUGCUUUUCAGAAUAAGUCAAGAAGAGGUUUUCAGGAGGAAAGACAGCAAGCAAAGUCCUCUUGGACAAUCCUUUGGACAAGGCUGUGGGAAAUUGGGAGCUGCUUCUCCAGAAGAUUUUACUUCUCUGUUCCUUGGACCUUUCUCAGUAAUGCUUUCCUGGCUAGGAAGCAUUAAUUGGAUUGUACCUGUACAGGUACAUCCUCAGUGGAUGUCUCCUUACAAGAUGAGUCUUACUGUGUCCAGCUCCCAGGAUCCUAAUGCUGCAGUGCCACUCAGUCCCUUUCAGGGCUCUGGUGACUGGCAGAAGAAACAAAUGAAGAAACAAAUCAUUUUUUGGUUACCAGGAGCAGAACUGGAAGCUCACACUGCCCAGCCCCAGUGCAGCCAGUCCUAAUGAUGGGACUGCUCCCAACUGACAGAAAAACCUUUAUCUUCCCUUUCACGAGAACUUUAACCCUCCCUUUAAAUAAAAGCUUGCCUGCUAAUUGGUUUGACCCCCAAUUCACCUGUUCAAUAAAGGAAUUCAUCACUUUUGCCCUAUCUGAUGGUUAAA